CAGUCAAAUUAUCUACUAGGCGGUUUUGGCCAAUUUUCCCCUCAGGAUAGCUGGGGAU
RNAcentral lists this ribosomal RNA (58 nucleotides) under Eutreptiella gymnastica. Its description in RNAcentral is "partial Eukaryotic large subunit ribosomal RNA". Lineage: Eukaryota; Euglenozoa; Euglenophyceae; Eutreptiales; Eutreptiaceae. The record is from RNAcentral.